AACGAACGCUGGCGGCAUGCCUCACACAUGCAAGUCGAACGAGACCCUCGGGUCUAGUGGCGCACGGGUGCGUAACGCGUGGGAACCUGCCCUUAGGUUCGGAAUAACUCCCCGAAAGGGGUGCUAAUACCGGACCAUCUCUUCGGACCAAAGAUUUAUCGCCUUUGGAUGGGCCCGCGUUGGAUUAGCUAGUUGUUAGGGUAAAAGCCUACCAAGGCGACGAGCCAUAGCUGGUCAGAGAGGAUGAUCUCCGCCACUGGGUAUGAGACACGCCCCAGAUUCCUAAGGGGCGCAGGAGGUGGGAAUAUUGGAUUGUUGGCGAAAGUGUGGUCCAGCAUCGCCGCGUGAGAGAUGAAGGCCGUAGGGUUGUAUAGCACAAUUACCCGGGCUGAUAAUGACAGUACCGGGAGAAUAAGCUCCGGCUAGCUCCGUG
Molecule: ribosomal RNA, 433 nt
Filed under: uncultured bacterium
Lineage: Bacteria
Description: partial 16S ribosomal RNA
Rfam family: Bacterial small subunit ribosomal RNA
Source: RNAcentral